This 70-nucleotide transfer RNA is filed under the name Silo nigricornis. Its description in RNAcentral is "tRNA-Lys". The record is from RNAcentral. Lineage: Eukaryota; Metazoa; Arthropoda; Insecta; Trichoptera; Goeridae.
CAUUAGAUAACUAAAUUAAGUACUGGUCUCUUAAACCAUUAAUAGUAUUUUUAUUCAAUACUUCUAAUGA